Molecule: ribosomal RNA, 509 nt
Filed under: Hydrogenovibrio marinus
Lineage: Bacteria; Pseudomonadati; Pseudomonadota; Gammaproteobacteria; Thiotrichales; Piscirickettsiaceae
Description: bacterial SSU rRNA
Rfam family: Bacterial small subunit ribosomal RNA
Source: RNAcentral
AACGCAGUGACAGGUGCUGCAUGGCUGUCGUCAGCUCGUGUCGUGAGAUGUUGGGUUAAGUCCCGCAACGAGCGCAACCCUUAUCUUUAGUUGCUACCAUUUAGUUGAGAACUCUAAAGAGACUGCCGGUGAUAAACCGGAGGAAGGCGGGGACGACGUCAAGUCAUCAUGGCCCUUAUGGGAUGGGCUACACACGUGCUACAAUGGGGGGUACAAAGAGCAGCUAGCUGGCGACAGUGCGCGAAUCUCAUAAAACCCUUCGUAGUCCGGAUUGGAGUCUGCAACUCGACUCCAUGAAGUCGGAAUCGCUAGUAAUCGUGAAUCAGAAUGUCACGGUGAAUACGUUCCCGGGCCUUGUACACACCGCCCGUCACACCAUGGGAGUGGGUUGCAAAAGAAGUAGGUAGUCUAACCUUCGGGAGGGCGCUUACCACUUUGUGAUUCAUGACUGGGGUGAAGUCGUAACAAGGUAGCCGUAGGGGAACCUGCGGCUGGAUCACCUCCUUUAA